Molecule: long non-coding RNA, 1283 nt
Organism: Austrofundulus limnaeus
Lineage: Eukaryota; Metazoa; Chordata; Actinopteri; Cyprinodontiformes; Rivulidae
Exons: 2
Source: RefSeq, a predicted model, not a curated record
GGUUUUGGGGAUUUUUUAUUCUUUUGCUUGUGUUUUAUGUUAAGAUACGUGUGACAGUGUAGUUGACUUUUUUUUAGAGGGAUAUAUCAACUUUUAUCAGCAACCGUACAGUAUGUAAAUGUACAACAUUGUAUUCAUUGUACAGGACUAUUUGAGGGUUUUCUGUAUUUAUGGAAUUGAGAUAUUUUCAAAUAAAAAUGUUUUCAUAUAAUUUUUUGUUUUCAGUCUUUUAAUGUGUUUUUUCCCCAACUCAGUCCCCACAGAAGAGAAGUAGACAAAAUUUGUAAUACUCUUGCGGAAUUAGCAUGGCAAGAGAAGUAUUUAUUGUACAUACAACUCACCGCAUAUGGGCAGUAUACUGUAUGACCCUCUAACACAUUCUCAUGUCGGACUCGUUACAUAUAGACGCUUGUCCCCUGCGCGUCCGUCUUUGCCGACUGCGGCAUUUCCGAGUUUGCGUGACGUAUGAGGUUAACAUGAGGAAUCAGGAUUAAAGGUUAACUUUAGGGUCUGUGGUUAACAUGAGGUUAGGGGUUACUGGUUAACUUUAGGGUCUGUGGUUAACAUGAGGUUAGGGGUUACUGGUUAACUUUAGUCUGUGGUUAACAUGAGCGAUCAGGGUUCAUGGUUAACUUUAGAGUCUGUGGUCAGGGUUAGGCUCUAUAAGGCUAGUAGAAGUUAAAUUUCGGGUCUAGGACGGUUAGUUUUGCACAAUUCGAGCCUUGUAAAAACAUCGUCCUCCUCUGCCCCAUCUACAGAACGUCAACAUAAUGACGCUUGGUCAAGCGUCAUUAUGUUGACGCGGGGGGCAUGACAAUGGGCUCGUGAUUUAGAACAUUACCUAAACAAAAAGUAGUGUCAUCUGCAAAUAACACACCUGAACAACUUUUGACACAUUUACCAGGUCAUUGACAUAAAAGAAACAAUUUAGGACCAAGCACAGAGCCCUGUGGGACACUGCAAGUAACUACAUCAAAAACCGAACGUACAUCAUUUAUUUGUACAAAUUGUUUUCUAGUUGCUAAAUAAUUUGACACCCAUUGUGAAGCCAAACCUCUCACACCAUAGUUGUUAAAUUUGCUGACAAUAAUGCUGUGGUCAAUAAUGUCAAAGGCUUUCUUUAAAUCAAUAUUCACAGUAACACAAAUUUUCUUUUGAUCCGCAUCAGUAGUUAUCAGUUCAGUUAAAUUAACAAGUGCUGAAGACGUUGAAUGGUGAGUUCUGAAACCAUUUUGACUAUUACUCAAAAUAUUAUACCUAUCAAUAAAGCAAUCCAAUCUAAU